GUUAAUAACGUAAAUUCCUAGCUAAUAUUAUAAAUUCCUAACAUUAAUAGUCGAUAUUGUCAAUGCCUAGGCAUUAACUGACAAUAUAUAGGCAAGAUAAUGUUAGCUCAAAUAUCACUUACAGGCAUUUUGCCUUUCAUUUUUUAUUUUUCUCUGUCAAUUUUUUAACUUUAUUAGAUGUUGCUGGUAGCACUUUAGCCUUAUGACUAGUUGAACUGAUUUGAAUUAAUGGGUUUGUUUUGAAUUUUGAUCCUAUCUCAAGACCUGUAAAGUUUAAUUUGUAGAACGAUUGUCAAUGUCUCACCGAAAUUAUCAAUCAGAUUAUGAUCUGGAUCAACUAGCUGAACAGUUAUUGAGUCAAUAUUUGUUAUAUUCAAUUUGUAAUUUAUUAAAUUCGGUGGUGACUGAAUUACUUUAAAUCUUGUAAUUUCACUAGGCAAGAACUCGUAAAUCGAAUGACUAAAGAUGAGUGCUGGAUGAUCCUUGAGCUAUAUUACAUAUUAAUUUUAUAGAAUUAAUUGUUUUUAAAUUAAUAACUCGAACGAAAAAUUUCAUAUUCUCAUUUUUCAAACCUAAUACUGGAGCUAUACUAUGUAAAAUAUCUAAGUGUAGUAUUCCAUUACAUUUUAUAUAUGAUCUGAAAUCAUUAGGGCCCACUGAAAUGUCGAAUAUUAACUCUUUGCCUAAUUUUGUAUUAUAGAUUUUGAAACUAGUGAAUGAAAACUUGCCAUGUUGCACGUAUACGAGACAAGUAGACAACAAAUUCAUAGGUAAAGUGCUCUUAAUGUGUAUAGGUUGGUAUUGUUAGCCUAAACUUAAAUUAAAACUGUGCAUGGCUUGGCAUUUUUAUACAUACGCAGUUACCUAGUAACCAUAUGAGUUACCAUAUGAAGUCUAUAGAAAAAAUGCUUUUAAAAUAUAUUAUUUCACUUACCUUUUUUAAACUUUGUGCAGUCAAAGUUUAUAGGUUCUAUUAAUACUAUACAGUAGCUCAACAAAAAUAUCUAACAAUAAUAAAACCAAAAAAAAUGUUUGAUGACCAAACGGAUAGGGCAGAAACCAUUUACAUUAGUAAUUGCGGGCUUGUGUUUAAAAGUUUAUU
Molecule: long non-coding RNA, 1102 nt
Organism: Myzus persicae (green peach aphid)
Lineage: Eukaryota; Metazoa; Arthropoda; Insecta; Hemiptera; Aphididae
Exons: 2
Source: RefSeq, a predicted model, not a curated record